Molecule: non-coding RNA, 524 nt
Organism: Pelobates cultripes (western spadefoot toad)
Lineage: Eukaryota; Metazoa; Chordata; Amphibia; Anura; Pelobatidae
Source: the annotation of a GenBank genome assembly
AUCUCUUCCUCUACAUUCAACAAGACCUUCACUUUCCCACCCUUGUUGUGUCCUAUUUUAUUUUCCCAAUUUCUUCAAUUUUAAUUAAAUGUACCCACUAUAAUUUGUUUUACAUGAUACUCUCUCGCUGUUUAAACUAUACAUAUAGGGUUAGUAACAUUUCAUUUGAUAUUAAUAUUUCCUCCCUCCAGAUAUACAACCCAUUUUCCUCAACCAGUCCAUAUACAUUCCAAAUGUUCUUCAUUUCCCUUAUUGUCUUUUCCAAAAUCCCUUGAUAGAAUCAGGUUGUUUUAACCAAAAGAAUCUUGAUCACCCACUCAAAAUCAAAUAGCACAUCUACACAUGGAACUUGUAGAUUGUCUCUGCUCAAAAUCCUAGUCCAUCCCGAUGUAUCAGGUUUAUUGUUCCCUGUAUGGUGUCUUCUUAAAGGAGUAGUGUUUAAUUAGGAACCACUCUUUAAGUCCUCUGUUAAGUCUUUGGGCAGCAGCAAUUAUGCAAAUGAGAACCUGGUAACUGCCUUUGAG